Molecule: long non-coding RNA, 705 nt
Organism: Vitis riparia (riverbank grape)
Lineage: Eukaryota; Viridiplantae; Streptophyta; Magnoliopsida; Vitales; Vitaceae
Exons: 2
Source: RefSeq, a predicted model, not a curated record
UGGGGCAGGGCCGGCAGGCUCGAGACGCCGCUCGCAGUCGACAAAGAUUGUAGACACGUAGCUAAAAGCCUAAAACCAUGUCUGACUGCACCACAUAAAAGAUAAUAAGGAAGGAAGAAUAAAGGCAGUGUCAUUAAUCACUUUAUACAAUCGGUGACAGCUACGUACAUCACAUGAGUUGUGCUGCAGUUGGCUUCUUUUGGGCAUUUGGUGCAGGGCUUGGCAUUCAAAUUGAAGGAAAAAAGAAUGAAGAUUUGGAAUCUUUAGUCUUCCAAGUGUUGAAAUUGGAUGGCAAAGCUCAGGGAUGGAGCUCAGCCCCAGCGCAUAAUAGUGAGUUAACGGUGGAGUUCGGAGUGAGGUGGGAUGAGUGUGAAAGCGAAAAUUGCAGAAAGGAAGAAGAGAGUAGAGAGAACCUCUUGAGCAAAUUGCAAAGGGCCUUCAACAGAAGCAGUCCAAAGUCUGCCUCCUGCACCAUAGAGCUGAUCAUUCCACGGCAGCAGCCUUACCAUGUUUUUGGAUUCAGUUGACCGGCUUGCAGAGGCCGGUUACCAUGUAGGGUGAAAGAAAAUUACAUUUUUUUUUCAAGCAAAUGAAAGAAAGAAAAUAUAAGCAAGACUUCUCUCCUAUUUUUAUAGUGGCAAUUACCUGUUGACUUUUCUUUUUCGUGGCGUGGACACGACAUGAAUCCAAUGUACUUUUAAUCAA